AAGAUAUCAAAAAGUUGUUAACUACAAAAAUGUAGGAAAAGUGAUAAUAAACAUUUUCGUAGUUAACAAAUUUUUGA
Molecule: non-coding RNA, 77 nt
Organism: Caenorhabditis elegans
Lineage: Eukaryota; Metazoa; Nematoda; Chromadorea; Rhabditida; Rhabditidae
Source: Ensembl